AUACUCUGUCCACGAGCCUAGUUGAUGGAGCGUUCCUGUGGCCAAAGUUGAAGGGUCUCAACGUAAGGACUGCCAAGUGUGUGCCAAUGCCUCUUCCUCAGGCUUCUAGAGCCACCUGUCUUCUGGCUUUGAGAGUUUAACGAAAGAGGAAAAACCCUCUCCUUGAAGAAUUCACGUUUUCUCACACCUACAAAAUGGGACGUGAUUUCAAGAGAUUCACAAACCUCUUGAAGCCCCUGAGGACCCUUGAGGAAUCUGUGGACCCUGGUUGAGAACCUCUGGUCUAUACAGUCAAAAAUGAAAUGGGAGAACUGCUUGCUGAAAUUGGACAGUGACAAUUGUCUACUAAUUCUGCAGUACAUUUUGGGAGGUCAGAGUAAACCUGAAUUACAUUCGCCGUGUAGUUGCUCAAGCCUCUGCUAUGGCAUUGAUUCAGUGGGUGGACCUCAGCUUUCCCAAUGCCCACACCUCCAUGCCAACCCAAACAUACGCGAAGGUUCUAGAGAGAGGAGGAAGAGGAGCAGGAAAUCAUUUAAGACUUUUCAUUUUUCAAAGCUUUGCUGGGAUACCUACCCUUGA
RNAcentral lists this long non-coding RNA (579 nucleotides) under Ailuropoda melanoleuca (giant panda). RNAcentral describes it as "lncRNA (ENSAMEG00000024831.1)". The record is from RNAcentral. Lineage: Eukaryota; Metazoa; Chordata; Mammalia; Carnivora; Ursidae.